Molecule: long non-coding RNA, 1073 nt
Filed under: Lactuca sativa (garden lettuce)
Lineage: Eukaryota; Viridiplantae; Streptophyta; Magnoliopsida; Asterales; Asteraceae
Description: long non-coding RNA (LSAT_LNC002557)
Source: RNAcentral
UUUUGUAAAAAUGUUUUAGCACGGAAAACAUAUUUUCAUCAUUUUAUAACAACAAAAAUAAACAUAACAAGCAUGCAUUUAAAAUGUAUAAACAAAGCCAUUUUCUAGUAAUAUUUAUUGUGAGACAUAACAACAAAUAUGAAUUCAUUUCCUAAAGGACUUAUUAGAACACUUCAAGGUCUUCACAAGGCUCCAUGUCUUCAUAAGAACUUCAAGCUCCAUCUUGUUACAUUCUAUAAAAAAUAAAAUACAACUAGUCUAAAACUAAUUUAUUACGUAUAAAAUGAACAAACAGAUUAAUACCUAUUUAUUUAUUACAUCAUCAUAUGAAUAAACAAAUACCAACCACAAAUGUCUUAAUGACUUGUUUAUAUAUAAAAAAUAUAUCAAACAAAACAACUCUUUGUUUUUUCUAAGGAAACUUUUAUAUAACCAAAAUGCAUGAAAAAUGGUUAUAUAAGAAAUAAACACUUUUAACUACAAGUUGCCAAAGAAAACAAAUAUAGACAUUUCUUUAGCUAAAAAUAAAUCCAUGCAUGUUUUCUAAAAACCAAAGAUUAUUGUAACAUAAAAAUCAUUCUAACAUUUAAAAUAUGGCUCUGAUAUCACUGAAGGGUUUUUGUCGCAUAAAAGGAUAGUUUUUCAUAAAAACCAGCAAUAGAAGCUUUUAAAAUUAUUAUAAAUUUCAAGUGAAUCAACAAAACAAACCAUUAGGGAUCGUUUAAAAGAGGUUAGAAUGAUGUUACAACAAGCAUAGGGUGUUUAGAAAAUACAACCUUUGUAGCCUUUGGACCCUCUUGGAUUUGCGGUGUUCAAGUAGAUGGCAAGAACAAGGAGCUUGAUAUUCUCUACAUGUAAUCCACCAACAAGAAUAAGGUACCAAAAUUUCUAGAUUUCUUUUUUUACAACUUUUUUCUUGAACCGUUAAGUGCUUAAACAUUUAAGUACUAAAAGAAAUACCCAAAGUAAACACCAAAAGCUUGUAAUGUCUUCAAAAGAGGAAAGAGCUCCAAGCUCUUCACUAGCUCAUGGUUUUGAGAAAAAAAGAAAGGAGAAUAAGUUUUAGACCAAAA